GUGCUUGCUUUGGCAGCACAUAGACUAAAAUUGGAAGGAUACAGUGAUUAGCAUGGCCCCUGCACAAGCCUGACAGGCAAUUCAUGAAGCGUUCCUUUUUUUU
Molecule: small nuclear RNA, 103 nt
Organism: Sciurus vulgaris (Eurasian red squirrel)
Lineage: Eukaryota; Metazoa; Chordata; Mammalia; Rodentia; Sciuridae
Source: Ensembl